CCUACGGGUGGCAGCAGUGGGGAAUUUUGGACAAUGGGGGCAACCCUGAUCCAGCCAUGCCGCGUGGGUGAAGAAGGCCUUCGGGUUGUAAAGCCCUUUCGGCCGGGACGAAAGGGUGCGCGUGAAUAACGCGCACUGAUGACGGUACCGGCAGAAGAAGCACCGGCUAACUACGUGCCAGCAGCCGCGGUAAUACGUAGGGUGCAGGCGUUAAUCGGAAUUACUGGGCGUAAAGGGUGCGCAGGCGGUUUGCUAAGACAGGUGUGAAAUCCCCGGGCUUAACCUGGGAACUGCGCUUGUAACUGGCAAGCUUGAGUGUGGCAGAGGGGGGUGGAAUUCCACGUGUAGCAGUGAAAUGCGUAGAGAUGUGGAGGAACACCGAUGGCGAAGGCAGCCCCCUGGGCUAACACUGACGCUCAGGCACGAAAGCGUGGGGAGCA
This 440-nucleotide ribosomal RNA is filed under the name uncultured bacterium. RNAcentral describes it as "bacterial SSU rRNA". It matches the Rfam family "Bacterial small subunit ribosomal RNA", at positions 338 to 770 of the family's 1533-position model. The record is from RNAcentral.